Molecule: long non-coding RNA, 446 nt
Filed under: Fukomys damarensis (Damara mole-rat)
Lineage: Eukaryota; Metazoa; Chordata; Mammalia; Rodentia; Bathyergidae
Description: lncRNA (ENSFDAG00000027444.1)
Source: RNAcentral
CUUUGUCCUUGGGCCUGUGCUCUCCUCACAUGGAGGCUGAUGAAUCUGGAAAGAAACACACCAGUUGGUAUUACUUUCCGGAGGCGCUUGAAGAGGGAAAGCGGGAACAAGUAUAAAAUGUUCCUCCUGUCUCACGACUCUGUCAGGGUCUUGGGAAAAUGAACCUGUGGAAGACAAUGGGAAAUCCUAGCAAAUGAGGCAAAAGGUUCCUGAGUUUGGGGGAGAACACUGCCUACCACUGGCCCCGUUAGAGGGAGGUUCCCGCCAAGCCCGCUGUUCCUGCUGGGACCUGUUCAAGGACAGCAAACAUGGUUUCCAGGACUGGAAAGGUCUGAAAAACAGAUUUGUUCCAGAUACUGAUUUGGUGAACCCAGCCUUGCACACCCAGAGGACAACUUUGAGGCACUGCUGUGGUCUUCUUCAUCAUAGAUUUAGAGAAGGUAGGA